RNAcentral lists this ribosomal RNA (254 nucleotides) under uncultured bacterium. Its description in RNAcentral is "partial 16S ribosomal RNA". It matches the Rfam family "Bacterial small subunit ribosomal RNA", at positions 524 to 776 of the family's 1533-position model. The record is from RNAcentral.
GACGAACCGUGCGAACGUUAUUCGGAAUCACUGGGCUUAAAGCGCGUGUAGGCGGGUCGGCGCGUCGGUCGCUGAAAUCCCCCGGCUCAACCGGGGAAGGGGCGCCGAUACGGCCGGCCUGGAGGGACGUAGGGGGGGCUGGAACUUCCGGUGGAGCGGUGAAAUGCGUUGAGAUCGGAAGGAACGCCCGUGGCGAAAGCGAGCCCCUGGACGUCUACUGACGCUGAGACGCGAAAGCCAGGGGAGCGAACGGG